UGGGGAAUAUUGGGCAAUGGGCGAAAGCCUGACCCAGCAACGCCGCGUGAAGGAAGAAGGCCUUCGGGUUGUAAACUUCUUUUACCAGGGACGAAGGACGUGACGGUACCUGGAGAAAAAGCCACGGCUAACUACGUGCCAGCAGCCGCGGUAAUACGUAGGGGGCGAGCGUUGUCCGGAAUUACUGGGCGUAAAGGGAGCGUAGGCGGUUAAUUAAGUUAGAUGUGAAAUACCCGGGCUUAACUUGGGGGGUGCAUCUAAAUACUGGUAAGCUAGAGUACAGGAGAGGAAAGCGGAAUUCCUAGUGUAGCGGUGAAAUGCAUAGAUAUUAGGAGGAACAUCGGUGGCGAAGGCGGCUUUCUGGACUGACACUGACGCUGAGGCUCGAAAGCGUGGGGA
RNAcentral lists this ribosomal RNA (399 nucleotides) under uncultured Oxobacter sp. RNAcentral's name for it is "bacterial SSU rRNA". It matches the Rfam family "Bacterial small subunit ribosomal RNA", at positions 355 to 767 of the family's 1533-position model. The record is from RNAcentral. Lineage: Bacteria; Bacillati; Bacillota; Clostridia; Eubacteriales; Clostridiaceae.